RNAcentral lists this long non-coding RNA (839 nucleotides) under Monodelphis domestica (gray short-tailed opossum). RNAcentral's name for it is "lncRNA (ENSMODG00000038681.1)". Lineage: Eukaryota; Metazoa; Chordata; Mammalia; Didelphimorphia; Didelphidae. The record is from RNAcentral.
GAGAACCUCAUCUAUGGCUCUUGGGAAUGGCAUCAUUGCUUGGCUAUUUUGAAUGUACAUAUAUGGACCAAAGACUUGAGGUGGAGAUGAUUGCAGUGGAUUGAACAGAAUUAGUAGUGGAAUAAACCCAGUGGAACUGGGAUGGAAUGAAUAUCUCAUAUGGAAGAGGAAUGAGUAAAGGAACUACCACAGAGAAGGAGAGAAAUGUGAAAGAUGGAGAGGAGGUCUGGAAGUAUGAAAAACAUAUUCUCAUCAUGAAGAAAGAAAAACAUACACAAUUAGAAGGAAAUGAAAACAUUGGAAAUACAAAAAAGGAAAACAUAUGAAGAUAUGAAAAGAAAACAAAAGUGAUCAGGAAAAAGAAAAAGAACCUAUAUGCCCCAGCUGACAGUAGAAGCUGAAGAUGAAGUUGAAGGUGUGGAAGCUGAAGGGAGCUGUGCUUCCCACCCUGUUAUCAAGGAUGACUGUAACACUGGAGGACACAGAAUUUUGGAAAUGACAGAAUCCCACUUGGAAACUAACUUCCCCUUAACAGUUGGAAAGAUGGAACUGCACUCAAUCAGACAGGGUUGGGAACAGCACUCUCACAGAUGGCUGAACAGCAGCUGAAACUAAGAAAAUAAGAUACAAGACCUUUUUCUCAUGUCUGGAAAACAGAAUAUUUCCCCUAAAGCAAAGUGGAAACGAGCUACAUAGUGGUUUAUUUUAUGCAUCUCUAGUAAUAUCACAUAUUAAACUUAUACCUUAGUGUUUAUUUCUGUCUAUGUUUCUCUGAGUAAGGCUGAGUGUAAUUAAAAGUCAUCAAUAAAUUGCCAUUUAUCGCUUUUUGAUGAACCUAG